This 118-nucleotide ribosomal RNA is filed under the name Pteropus alecto (black flying fox). Lineage: Eukaryota; Metazoa; Chordata; Mammalia; Chiroptera; Pteropodidae. The record is from RNAcentral.
UCUUCUUUAAAAACAUCUUGAACAUGCCGGAUCCCGUCUGAUCUCGGAAGCUAAGCAGGGUCAGGCCUGGUUAGUACUUGGAUGGGAGACCACCUAGGAAGACCAGGUGGUGCAAGGG